UUAAGCGACUAAGCGUACACGGUGGAUGCCCUGGCAGUCAGAGGCGAUGAAGGACGUGCUAAUCUGCGAUAAGCGUCGGUAAGGUGAUAUGAACCGUUAUAACCGGCGAUUUCCGAAUGGGGAAACCCAGUGUGAUUCGUCACACUAUCAUUAACUGAAUCCAUAGGUUAAUGAGGCGAACCGGGGGAACUGAAACAUCUAAGUACCCCGAGGAAAAGAAAUCAACCGAGAUUCCCCCAGUAGCGGCGAGCGGACGGGGAGCAGCCCAGAGCCUGAAUCAGUGUGUGUGUUAGUGGAAGCGUCUGGAAAGGCGUGCGAUACAGGGUGACAGCCCCGUACACAAAAAUGCACAUAUUGUGAGCUCGAUGAGUAGGGCGGGACACGUGGUAUCCUGUCUGAAUAUGGGGGGACCAUCCUCCAAGGCUAAAUACUCCUGACUGACCGAUAGUGAACCAGUACCGUGAGGGAAAGGCGAAAAGAACCCCGGCGAGGGGAGUGAAAAAGAACCUGAAACCGUGUACGUACAAGCAGUGGGAGCACGCUUAGGCGUGUGACUGCGUACCUUUUGUAUAAUGGGUCAGCGACUUAUAUUCUGUAGCAAGGUUAACCGAAUAGGGGAGCCGAAGGGAAACCGAGUCUUAACUGGGCGUUAAGUUGCAGGGUAUAGACCCGAAACCCGGUGAUCUAGCCAUGGGCAGGUUGAAGGUUGGGUAACACUAACUGGAGGACCGAACCGACUAAUGUUGAAAAAUUAGCGGAUGACUUGUGGCUGGGGGUGAAAGGCCAAUCAAACCGGGAGAUAGCUGGUUCUCCCCGAAAGCUAUUUAGGUAGCGCCUCGUGAAUUCAUCUCCGGGGGUAGAGCACUGUUUCGGCAAGGGGGUCAUCCCGACUUACCAACCCGAUGCAAACUGCGAAUACCGGAGAAUGUUAUCACGGGAGACACACGGCGGGUGCUAACGUCCGUCGUGAAGAGGGAAACAACCCAGACCGCCAGCUAAGGUCCCAAAGUCAUGGUUAAGUGGGAAACGAUGUGGGAAGGCCCAGACAGCCAGGAUGUUGGCUUAGAAGCAGCCAUCAUUUAAAGAAAGCGUAAUAGCUCACUGGUCGAGUCGGCCUGCGCGGAAGAUGUAACGGGGCUAAACCAUGCACCGAAGCUGCGGCAGCGACGCUUAUGCGUUGUUGGGUAGGGGAGCGUUCUGUAAGCCUGCGAAGGUGUGCUGUGAGGCAUGCUGGAGGUAUCAGAAGUGCGAAUGCUGACAUAAGUAACGAUAAAGCGGGUGAAAAGCCCGCUCGCCGGAAGACCAAGGGUUCCUGUCCAACGUUAAUCGGGGCAGGGUGAGUCGACCCCUAAGGCGAGGCCGAAAGGCGUAGUCGAUGGGAAACAGGUUAAUAUUCCUGUACUUGGUGUUACUGCGAAGGGGGGACGGAGAAGGCUAUGUUGGCCGGGCGACGGUUGUCCCGGUUUAAGCGUGUAGGCUGGUUUUCCAGGCAAAUCCGGAAAAUCAAGGCUGAGGCGUGAUGACGAGGCACUACGGUGCUGAAGCAACAAAUGCCCUGCUUCCAGGAAAAGCCUCUAAGCAUCAGGUAACAUCAAAUCGUACCCCAAACCGACACAGGUGGUCAGGUAGAGAAUACCAAGGCGCUUGAGAGAACUCGGGUGAAGGAACUAGGCAAAAUGGUGCCGUAACUUCGGGAGAAGGCACGCUGAUAUGUAGGUGAAGUCCCUUGCGGAUGGAGCUGAAAUCAGUCGAAGAUACCAGCUGGCUGCAACUGUUUAUUAAAAACACAGCACUGUGCAAACACGAAAGUGGACGUAUACGGUGUGACGCCUGCCCGGUGCCGGAAGGUUAAUUGAUGGGGUCAGCGCAAGCGAAGCUCUUGAUCGAAGCCCCGGUAAACGGCGGCCGUAACUAUAACGGUCCUAAGGUAGCGAAAUUCCUUGUCGGGUAAGUUCCGACCUGCACGAAUGGCGUAAUGAUGGCCAGGCUGUCUCCACCCGAGACUCAGUGAAAUUGAACUCGCUGUGAAGAUGCAGUGUACCCGCGGCAAGACGGAAAGACCCCGUGAACCUUUACUAUAGCUUGACACUGAACAUUGAGCCUUGAUGUGUAGGAUAGGUGGGAGGCUUUGAAGUGUGGACGCCAGUCUGCAUGGAGCCGGCCUUGAAAUACCACCCUUUAAUGUUUGAUGUUCUAACGUGGACCCGUGAUCCGGGUUGCGGACAGUGUCUGGUGGGUAGUUUGACUGGGGCGGUCUCCUCCUAAAGAGUAACGGAGGAGCACGAAGGUUGGCUAAUCCUGGUCGGACAUCAGGAGGUUAGUGCAAUGGCAUAAGCCAGCUUGACUGCGAGCGUGACGGCGCGAGCAGGUGCGAAAGCAGGUCAUAGUGAUCCGGUGGUUCUGAAUGGAAGGGCCAUCGCUCAACGGAUAAAAGGUACUCCGGGGAUAACAGGCUGAUACCGCCCAAGAGUUCAUAUCGACGGCGGUGUUUGGCACCUCGAUGUCGGCUCAUCACAUCCUGGGGCUGAAGUAGGUCCCAAGGGUAUGGCUGUUCGCCAUUUAAAGUGGUACGCGAGCUGGGUUUAGAACGUCGUGAGACAGUUCGGUCCCUAUCUGCCGUGGGCGCUGGAGAACUGAGGGGGGCUGCUCCUAGUACGAGAGGACCGGAGUGGACGCAUCACUGGUGUUCGGGUUGUCAUGCCAAUGGCACUGCCCGGUAGCUAAAUGCGGAAGAGAUAAGUGCUGAAAGCAUCUAAGCACGAAACUUGCCCCGAGAUGAGUUCUCCCUGACCCUUUAAGGGUCCUGAAGGAACGUUGAAGACGACGACGUUGAUAGGCCGGGUGUGUAAGCGCAGCGAUGCGUUGAGCUAACCGGUACUAAUGAACCGUGAGGCUUAACCUU
RNAcentral lists this ribosomal RNA (2902 nucleotides) under Shigella sonnei. Its description in RNAcentral is "bacterial LSU rRNA". It matches the Rfam family "Bacterial large subunit ribosomal RNA". Lineage: Bacteria; Pseudomonadati; Pseudomonadota; Gammaproteobacteria; Enterobacterales; Enterobacteriaceae. The record is from RNAcentral.